GAUGAACGCUGGCGGCGUGCCUAAUACAUGCAAGUCGAGCGAACAGACGAGGAGCUUGCUCCUCUGACGUUAGCGGCGGACGGGUGAGUAACACGUGGAUAACCUACCUAUAAGACUGGGAUAACUUCGGGAAACCGGAGCUAAUACCGGAUAAUAUAUUGAACCGCAUGGUUCAAUAGUGAAUGACGGUUUUGCUGUCACUUAUAGAUGGUUCCGCGCCGCAUUAGCUAGUUGGUAAGGUAACGGCUUACCAAGGCAACGAUGCGUAGCCGACCUGAGAGGGUGAUCGGCCACACUGGAACUGAGACACGGUCCAGACUCCUACGGGAGGCAGCAGUAGGGAAUAUUCCGCAAUGGGCGAAAGCCUGACGGAGCAACGCCGCGUGAGUGAUGAAGGUCUUCGGAUCGUAAAACUCUGUUAUUAGGGAAGAACAAAUGUGUAAGUAACUAUGCACGUCUUGACGGUACCUAAUCAGAAAGCAACGGCUAACUACGUG
Molecule: ribosomal RNA, 497 nt
Filed under: uncultured bacterium
Lineage: Bacteria
Description: partial 16S ribosomal RNA
Rfam family: Bacterial small subunit ribosomal RNA
Source: RNAcentral